This 21-nucleotide microRNA is filed under the name Mus musculus (house mouse). RNAcentral describes it as "Mmu-Mir-701_3p* (star (passenger))". The record is from RNAcentral. Lineage: Eukaryota; Metazoa; Chordata; Mammalia; Rodentia; Muridae.
UAUCUAUUAAAGAGGCUAGCC